GUGAGGUGGGAGCAAAACUCAAAAACUUGUCUCAGUUCGGAUUGUAGGCUGAAACUCGCCUACAUGAAGCUGGAGUUGCUAGUAAUCGCGAAUCAGCAUGUCGCGGUGAAUACGUUCCCGGGCCUUGUACACACCGCCCGUCACACCAUGAGAGUUGGCAAUACCCAACGUACGUGAUCUAACCCGCAAGGGAGGAAGCGUCCUAAGGUAGGGUCAGCGAUUGGGGUGAAGUCGUAACAAGGUACC
Molecule: ribosomal RNA, 246 nt
Filed under: uncultured bacterium
Lineage: Bacteria
Description: partial 16S ribosomal RNA
Rfam family: Bacterial small subunit ribosomal RNA
Source: RNAcentral